Molecule: non-coding RNA, 73 nt
Organism: Stegodyphus mimosarum
Lineage: Eukaryota; Metazoa; Arthropoda; Arachnida; Araneae; Eresidae
Source: Rfam
GCCUUCGUGGUGUAGUGGUCAGCACGCUCGACGCGUAACCGAGAGGUCCGUGGUUCGAUUCUCGGCGAAGGCG